This 253-nucleotide ribosomal RNA is filed under the name uncultured bacterium. RNAcentral describes it as "partial 16S ribosomal RNA". It matches the Rfam family "Bacterial small subunit ribosomal RNA", at positions 524 to 776 of the family's 1533-position model. The record is from RNAcentral.
UACAGAGGUCUCAAGCGUUGUUCGGAUUCAUUGGGCGUAAAGGGUGUGUAGGUGGCGCGCUAAGUCAGGUGUGAAAUUUCGGAGCUUAACUCCGAAACUGCAUUUGAUACUGGCGUGCUUGAGGACUGGAGAGGAGACUGGAAUUUACGGUGUAGCAGUGAAAUGCGUAGAUAUCGUAAGGAAGACCAGUGGCGAAGGCGGGUCUCUGGACAGUUCCUGACACUGAGACACGAAGGCCAGGGGAGCAAACGGG